This 433-nucleotide ribosomal RNA is filed under the name uncultured bacterium. RNAcentral's name for it is "partial 16S ribosomal RNA". It matches the Rfam family "Bacterial small subunit ribosomal RNA", at positions 29 to 507 of the family's 1533-position model. The record is from RNAcentral.
AACGAACGCUGGCGGCAUGCCUAACACAUGCAAGUCGAACGAGACCUUCGGGUCUAGUGGCGCACGGGUGCGUAACGCGUGGGAACCUGCCCUUAGGUUCGGAAUAACUCCCCGAAAGGGGUGCUAAUACCGGAUAAUGUCUUCGGACCAAAGAUUUAUCGCCUUUGGAUGGGCCCGCGUUGGAUUAGCUAGUUGGUAGGGUAAAAGUCUACCAAGGCGACGAUCCAUAGCUGGUCUGAGAGGAUGAUCAGCCACACUGGGACUGAGACACGGCCCAGACUCCUACGGGAAGCAGCAGUGGGGAAUAUUGGACAAUGGGCGAAAGCCUGAUCCAGCAAUGCCGCGUGAGUGAUGAAGGCCUUAGGGUUGUAAAGCUCUUUUACCCGGGAUGAUAAUGACAGUACCGGGAGAAUAAGCUCCGGCUAACUCCGUG